Molecule: long non-coding RNA, 230 nt
Filed under: Lathyrus oleraceus (garden pea)
Lineage: Eukaryota; Viridiplantae; Streptophyta; Magnoliopsida; Fabales; Fabaceae
Description: Pisum sativum (pea) long non-coding RNA (PSAT_LNC009025)
Source: RNAcentral
AAAGCCUUAGUCUCUACAGCGUAACAGGAGAGUUACGAUAUCGACUAAAUAAAAGUCCCCGGCAACGGCGCCAAAAACUUGAUCGCUCGACUUUAUGAGUCGAAUUGGGGUACAAACUGCAAGUGCACAGUUCUAUCGCGUAGUUUUAAAAGAUAUCGAUCCCACAGGGACUUAUGAAUCGAUAUACCGUUAUCUAAGGUUACUUCGUAAAGCUAAGGCAGGUAAUACUU